UCGUGCUGGACGGGGAGUUAGCGGUGCCCUGUAACCCGCAAUCCGCUGCAGCGGGGUCGAAGCUCGGUCGAGGGUUCGUUUCUUUGAGGACGGCUGUCGGGCCCGGUGGUGUUGAGGAUCGGGUCCUGCGCAACAGAACCUCCUGAAUCGUGUCAGGUCCGGAAGGAAGCAGCACUAAGGGAAUCGUUUUGUGUGCCGCAGGGUUGCCUGGUCGGAGCCGCCGGCGACGGUACGCUCGGAGUUCGGAUUCGGAGCCGAUCGCACGA
RNAcentral lists this signal recognition particle RNA (266 nucleotides) under Tumebacillus flagellatus. RNAcentral's name for it is "Bacterial large signal recognition particle RNA". It matches the Rfam family "Bacterial large signal recognition particle RNA". Rfam says of the family: The signal recognition particle (SRP) is a universally conserved ribonucleoprotein involved in the co-translational targeting of proteins to membranes. Archaeal SRP consists of a 7S RNA and homologues of the eukaryotic SRP19 and SRP54 proteins. Lineage: Bacteria; Bacillati; Bacillota; Bacilli; Caryophanales; Alicyclobacillaceae. The record is from Rfam by way of RNAcentral.